AGCUUUGCGCAGUGGCAGUAUCGUAGCCAAUGAGGUUUAUCCAAGGCGCGAUUAUUGCUAAUUGAAAGUCAACAUUAGGGCUGGAGAGAUGGCUCAGCGGUUAAGAGCACUGACUGCUCUUCCAGAGGUCCUGAGUUCAAAUCCCAGCAACCACAUGGUGG
Molecule: small nuclear RNA, 161 nt
Organism: Rattus norvegicus (Norway rat)
Lineage: Eukaryota; Metazoa; Chordata; Mammalia; Rodentia; Muridae
Product: U4 spliceosomal RNA
Source: Ensembl